RNAcentral lists this ribosomal RNA (374 nucleotides) under uncultured bacterium. Its description in RNAcentral is "partial 16S ribosomal RNA". It matches the Rfam family "Bacterial small subunit ribosomal RNA", at positions 338 to 729 of the family's 1533-position model. The record is from RNAcentral.
CCUACGGGUGGCAGCAGUGGGGAAUAUUGCACAAUGGGGGAAACCCUGAUGCAGCGACGCCGCGUGAGUGAAGCAGUAUUUAGGUAUGUAAAGCUCUAUCAGCAGGGAGGAAAAGGACGGUACCUGAUUAAGAAGAAACGGCUAACUACGUGCCAGCAGCCGCGGUAAUACGUAGGGGGCAAGCGUUAUCCGGAUUUACUGGGUGUAAAGGGAGCGUAGACGGUGCUGGAAGUCAGAAGUGAAAUCCCGGGGCUCAACUUCGGGACUGCUUUUGAAACUGUGUGACUAGAGUGAAGGCGCGGUAGGCGGAAUGCAUGGUGUAGCAGUGAAAUGCGUAGAUAUCAUACAGAACACCAGUGGCGAAGGCAGCUUAC